Molecule: non-coding RNA, 5961 nt
Organism: Anas platyrhynchos (mallard)
Lineage: Eukaryota; Metazoa; Chordata; Aves; Anseriformes; Anatidae
Source: RefSeq, a predicted model, not a curated record
UCACACUUGCAAAGAGCUCCUACUCUAGCACUCAGCUUUCUCAGCAUGUUGUGCAAGUGUUAGGCUCUCACACAAAAGGUGCUUCCCACCAUGAAGUUAAAACUUUUGAACUCACCACUGUGCUUGUAGUAGGUAUUGUGCAUGGAAAAAGAUUUUUCAGAGGGCAAAAAGACACGUUUUCACAGGGAUAUCUUCUUCCCUAUAGACACCAUCCAGAUAAAUACCCUACCUUUGCACCAAAUCUGAAAAUGCGUGUUCUUACAAAACAGUUGAAAGAAUUUAUUUAAAAGCAGCAGAGUGAGUCAGUUUUAACUGUUUUUGUUCUUGGAAAUGCCUAUGACUUUUUGACUGAAGCGUUCCUGAACAAUUCAUCCUGAUUCUGAUGCUCAAAAUGGAGACUUCUGGCCCAGAAGGGAACAGCUUGGCAGUGGUGUAAUUGGCAGCACAUUAUUUCCUAUAAUGAAAAGUGAAUGGCAGCCUGAACUAUAGUUAUGUACUUGAGGCAGGAGACUAGAGACUGAACAAGUGCUCUCAGCUAACCCAGCCGUCACAGUGGUAACGCCACAGGGGUUGUGUGCAGGAGAAAGCUGAGACAGUUUUGCCAAGAGCUGGCUGGUGCCAGUGAAGUGCCUGCCUGGCAGUGCUCUCACAGGCAAACUUUCCACCCACAUCAAGACUUCUGGCUGCAUGUUGCCUUUGGUACUGAAUUCUAGGUCGAUACACUUUGUUAGCUGACUCAGAAUCUGUUCUGGAGCUUGGGAAAUAUGGCAAGUUACAGCUUUUGGUUUCUUUCAGGGUUACUGCUAGUUUAGCAUUAAACAAAGACAGGAGGCUAAUCGGGAUGGGAGGGACUUUUUGGACAAGGAAUUCUUCUCGUGGAUUGGCAGCCAACAUCUGAGAUAGUUACCACAGCCAGUCAGCAACUACGAUGGAGGGGGAAGGAUCAAGAAAGGCACAAGACUGUUGAGCUCCUAGCAUUUCCCUCAUUUGAGCACAAACCAAGAUGACUUCACCCUGUCAGUGCUUAGCCCUGAUAUAAUCUACUCAUAUUAACUGUUUCCCUUGAGGACUGUAAUACUUCAGGCAUGUCUACGCUGUCAAAUAACUCAUGGCUUAUUCCCAGGUCCUGAUCCUCGUAUUGCCCACACUUCACAAAUACUUGAUGGUGCCCAGGUUCUCUUUAGAUAUUAAUUAUAAUAUCUGUCCAAAACAAGCUCAGAAAAAAAAAAAAUAAAAAUUAGACUUGAUCCAUCGUUAUAUCUGUGAAAGAGCAAGGAGUUUUAGGCAAGUUUUUAAUUGCCUCACAACACAAAAGAAGAGUCAAAAAUACUGAUUACUGGUAAGGGCUCUGUGUUUCAGCAUGUUUCAUAUUUUCUUCCCAGGGGACAGAUCUAAAAGGUAGGUAGAGUACUCAAGAGCCGAAGAGCAAUUAUGUAUUAUGCAAGAUGUUUAAGAAGCAGCUUCAAGGCCAUCUUGCCAGUCUCUUCUAUCAUUUUUUUUUCUUUCUUUCUUUUGGAGAGGCUGAAAUCUCUGUCUGAAGCACAACUGGCUCCUACAGGAGAUCCAUCAGGCUGUUGCACAUCCCCUCCUCGCUUUGCAGUUACCAAUUUUCUAAUUAACUUGCUGUGCCUGCCCCCAUUAAAUCAAUCAGAGCCUUGCCGCUGAUUGCAAGGGGAAUGGGAGCAGGCUUUUGCAGCAAGGCUCAGCAUCUGCUGGAGCCAGGUUUUCCAAGUGGCACCACGUGCAAGUCACCAGUCCCUGGAGGAGCCACCAGCGAGCGAGUUUUUGCCAGUGCUGCUGGACUCAGCUGCGGAUGCAGAGCACUUGAAAACAACUUGAGAGCCCAGCGGUGCCCCAGUGAGUGUGACAGCAGUGACGAGCUGUCAGCAGCUCGAGGAGAGGCAGUCGGCGUGCUUCCCCUUGCCUGGCUGAAGCUGAGGGUCUGGUGAGUGGUUGAAGAGGAACAUCCAGGCCCCUGAGGUCCCAGGGACACGUCUGAAGUACUUACGCUGUUAACAAGGAGGGAGAAGGAAAAGCUGCUCAUCCUGAACACCGGGAGGAAUUGAAGUUCUGGUGGUGGUGUUUUUAGGAAACAACAGGGUGUUUGUUGUGUGCUCUUAUACCCAAGCCAUUGCUAAGUUUGCGAGCAGCUGUCAUCAGUGGGGUUUUCAACAAACUGCCAGGCUUUCCCAGACCAUGUAGCCUUUUGUUCUCAAAAAACAAAUGCCAGCAUGUCAUCAUCUGCUCUCAGUGGCCAGUAAAAGGAAUCUCUCACUCUGCCUUAGAGAUUUUGCCAUCAGCUGCCGAGGGCUCUGGUCUCCGAGAGUCUGUGGGGUCCACCAGGGACAGGCAUCUCCUGGCAAAGGAGAGGAGGAAUUGCUGAGUGACCUCCCAAAGUGAACAGAACUGAUGGGGUGCAGCAGGUUUAGCUAAUUCAGCUCCUGGAUAUCAUAGAGUUUAUAGAUGCUUUAGCAUAUAACUGGUUUAAAAAAAAAAAAAUAAUAGGAACUUUAUAAUUGAUUUUAAUCUUAAAAAAUCAAUUUUUUAGUCAGUAAAACAUCAGUUUUAUGAUCCCCUUGAUUGAAAAAUGAUCUUGAAAAAUGUGUCCUUACAGUACACCACAUACUCCAACACAUCAGUGUCCUGUGGCUGUGCUGUGGCUAGCAAUGCAGUUAUCUGCACUAAUAUCUGCACCAAUAUUUCCUUCAGCUACCUGAUUCUCUUCUUACUGCCCUUCUCCUGGAUCUUACUGUUCUUACUGCUGGCUCCUGGACAGGGCUGCUCACGGGCUUAUUGACUUGGGUGAGUUCUGCCACACUCCAUUCUUUUUCUCUUAGUUUUAUUCUUCUGCAAAUCUUACAGCUUAGUAGGAUUGAUUAUCCUACUUACCUGUUUCUAUCCAUGCAGCCAACCUCCAUUUCCAACCCUAACCAUGUGUGAUUCUGUGAAUUUUUUUAUUUUUAUUUUUAUUUUCUGAAGGACUGAGAGUCAAAUCCCUAAGACACCCAGGUAACUGACCUGACAUGGAAAUCAAGAGGACCUUAUUACAAAAAAACCUCUGAUACACAUUGGCCCACCAGCCCACGGUUUGUAUCUCAGGGCACCUCUCACAUCUGAGCUGCUAGAUUGCAGCGUGGGGAAAAGCAUCACGGAUUUCCCCUUUGCCUGAGCAUUAGUGGUCAUACAGAGGAGUCAGCAUGGCUUGGAUUCAAAUCUGCGGGGGAAAUCAGCCUCUGAAAUAAUUACUCAUCUCAGGGAAAUUGCAGCAGGGUUGAUUAUAAUUAGCCUGACUAGUAUAUGUAGCGUUCCUUAGUUUUUAACCUCCAAUCACAUAGGCUCAUGCGCUUACAUUGGUCAAUAUCAUCCUCCCGGUAUUUUUAUUCAAAUGAGACAUUUGAUAGAAAUUCACUCCUACAAACAUGUAUAUGUGAUUUCUCGUCAUUUUGUACAGUUUUCUCAGAAACCUGUUCUAGCAAUACAACAUUGUACUUUUCAGCAGUUUUCUUGUACUUCUUCUUCUACUAUGCACUGUCAGAUUGUACUUGUCAGCCUCUUUUAUUCUCCCUCUAAAUAUACUUUCUAAAAAUGUUUAGGUUUUCCCCUUAUGGUUAACAUCUGUGGGACUUUCACGUACUCCGGUAGUGAUCAGGAAACAUAAGCCAAGAAGCAACAAUUUCAGAUUGCAUUCCCGAUGUAACAAUCCUGCCUCUGUUACAGGCAGAACGCACAUGGGUCUUCAUUGUGAGGCAAAGCCCGGAUCAACUAGAAUUCAGGGAAGAUGAAUAAUCAGAAUCAGAGAUAAAAUUCAAGGCAACUUGCAGAAACUAAGCUGUUAAAAUGCUGUGCAAAGUGUGGGAGUUGUCACUGGUUUGAGAUUUGUAGCCCUUUGCUUGUAAAGCCCAAACAUUGAGGUUCAUUUACACUGACUGUUCACAUUUCAGGAUCUGAGACAUUUAAAACAGCUCUUGAAAUAACCUGGGAUAGCUCCUGCUUUUUUUCAUUAUUUUUUUUUUCUCCUGCACAGUCACCUUGUCGUUUUAAAGUCUGGUGUCUUGGGAUCUCAUAAAGCUCAGAGAGCAAGUGCUGUGUGAGAACGAUCUCCUGCUUCCCCAGCAGUACGGAGCUCCUGUUUCUACUCCAGAGGAGACAAAGCCUGUGAGAUACGGCUGAUGUCCAUCUUUCCCUUUUUUGGGUCAGCAGGUGCCCCUGCUCCACACCUGUGAGAUUCUACCCUGCUGAAGAAGGCAGUGGCAGUGAAAAUGCAGAAAGCAUCCUAAGAUCUGUCCAGACACAGAGUGGAUGGCUCCAGCAGUUCUGGAGGUGUGGAUGUUCAGCUUACUCAUGUAUGCAAGUAAAGGUAAAUGCUGUCAGUUCAGAAUUUUCCUUUCCGGAUCCUAACAAAGCUUUCUGUUUACUCUGUAGAACUUUAAAGUAUUUUACAGCUGACAUUACAUUCCGUAUUACCUCCUCCAUCAUUUUCCACUUGAAUCAACCAUGUACCGAACACUAGCGACGUGAUUUGGCAGCAGUUUCCCAAGAAGUCAGCGAACACACUGGAUUCUCAUCCCUAAAAUAUUAAAUCUCCAAAGUAGACUGCAGAGAAUUAUUCAGUCUUAGUCUUCCUUGAAAGAGACACGGGCCUCAGACUCACUGUUGUGUCACUGGGGUUUCAUAAAUCAUUGCUCAUCUACUGAGCUGCUGUAGCUGUCCUCACACAGGCACACAUAGCUUAAAUCUCUUCUCUUGUGGACUGAACUGAAAUCCACUCAUUUUAACAGCACACACAUCAUCGCUUGCUGCCAGAUCGCUGGGUGCACGGUGGCUUGGUGAUCAGUUCUGACUCACUCAGGAGUCUGAGCCCUUAAUUCUUUGUGAUCAAGAACGAUCCCAGCAGCAUUUUGCAAGAACAGGGACGUUUUUACUGGAGUCCCAUGAAGGAGAGUGUGUAGCUACUUUCUUGAAAAUUUUCCUUUGCAUUAUCAACCGAGUGUAAUUUUCUUUUUUUAUGGUUUUGGGUGAAGUUCCUGUGUAAUGUUAAACAGCUGCUUUGUUACAUUCAAGUGAUGGAUGGAGUUAUUCCUGCUGAGAUGCAAUUUCUUAAACACUUUGGCAUCUUAAUGAAUGAAAGAUGCUCUCCACUGAAGGUAAAAUCACUUAGAUCACCUCAGAACUGAGCUCUGAACAUGUGACUAUGCUGAAGCCCGGGAGCCCAAGUGCUGAGCCACUGAAAUAUUUGGGGUGGGAAGGAGGAAUUCCACCAUUAGCUAAAAUAAUGUUUGUGUUCUUUUUUUUUUUUUUUUUAAAAAAAUUAUGUUUCUGAAAUAUGCCUUCAGAAAUGUGUAGUGCCUUUAGAGAGGCAGUAGAGAGUGUGGGGUGGAGCAGCUCAUGGAAAAACACAGCCUGUGAUUUCUUCUUGCAGCCCACAGCUAAAAGGAAGGGAUGCUGUUGGUCCUCUACCCCCAACACACAACCAGCAGCAGUGUUAGCAAUCCCCAUUCCUUGGAUUUUUGGGCAGGGACAGCUUUAACUGUGACUUCUUUCUGAGUGGCUGCUACAGGGCUGGGGAAUGCUGCACUGCUGCUUCCCUCUUGGCAGAUUAUUCCACCCUUUAUCCUACCUUCUUUCUAAGAUUAGCUUUCUGGAAAUAAAUAAUUCUUAAAGCCAGGACAUGAAUUAAAAUCUGUAUGGACCAAAUGCACCCUUAGCUGUCUAUGCAAUAGCCCCUGAGAUAAAUGUUCAUGGCUGAUGACAGGUGAUUCCCACAGGUGUUGUACUGUUUAGGCUGAGUCCCAGGGUGGAUGGUUGAGCAAAUCCUGUUCAGCUAUGGCAUCUUGUUGUUCUUGAACAGAUCUUGCCCUUCCACAGCUGUCCUACAACUCAGGUUUCUCUAAAACACAGGCUUCAGCUGUGUGGUUUUUAACAGAAAAGAUACCCCAAAGAGACACCUGCUUCCUCCGUCUG